Long non-coding RNA from Hemicordylus capensis (graceful crag lizard), 1960 nucleotides. RefSeq lists it as uncharacterized. The record is from RefSeq and is a predicted model, not a curated record. NCBI's taxonomy places the organism in Eukaryota, Metazoa, Chordata, Lepidosauria, Squamata, Cordylidae. The transcript has 2 exons.
UUGAGCACACAUAUUUUGCAUGCAUUUCCGUCCUCCCUUGGUCAUGCUGUCUUGUGACUUGACCUGCUUCGUAGGGCUGUUGGGAAGGCGAAAUGGUGGAAGCCCAACCCUCGGACAUGCAGCUCAGUGGGGACCCUGGACUCCGUUAUUUUUCUGCCAAACUUUCUGCACAGGAAUGGCUGGAGAAUGCACAAGGCACACACAUGGAUUCCUCAAGCCAGCCACAAUCCUGGGGAUUCUGCUGCCUCCCACAGCCCUUGGGAGAACAAAACAGCCCACCAGGCAAGAUGCCCGGAGAUGCUGUGAAUUAAGCUCUGUCCGGGCAUUUAAUAUUUGGAGAUGCUGUAGUGUCUCAGAGCUCACCCCUGCUCAGGAGACCUCUCACACCCAAGCAUUUAGAACAGGGCUGCUCAACUUUGGCCAUCCCGCAGAUGUUGGCCUACAACUCCCAGAAUCCCUUGCUACGGGCCACUGUGCCUGGAGAUUGUGGGAACUGUAGUACAAAAAGAGCUGUGGGGCUAAGGUUGAUCAGGGCUGGUCUAGACCUUCCCAAGUUAGGGGCCUCCAGAUGUUGCUGAACUAAAACUCCCAUCAGCACCUGCUCCCAUUAAUAAGGGAAUGCACUCUAUUCUGUGCUAGUCACACUUCCCUUGGAAUACCCUGUGCAUAUUUAUGCAACGGGUCAUGUGGUAUUGUCAUUUUAUAGAUCUGAUGUUUCCUCUAGGUAUACAGGUUCAGACAUUUUCCUUAUAUGUGUAUUUUAAGUUAUAUAGAUUUUCCUUGGGCACGGGGGGACCAAAACAGGAGGAAAUCUAUCUGCUCUUCAGAAGAUGCUCUGGCUUUGUUUGGGUGACAUUGCUUACUAUCCACUUUUUGAGCUGUUUUCCCCCUGAAUAUUUCAUUUCAUAGCAUAUAUCACACACACACACAAACCCGCAAUGGUUUUUGUGUUUUUAUUUUGGUCAAGUUCCACUGAGGGCUGCUUGCCAAUUGAAAAACCAUACUGCCAAAACACACACACACACACACCCCACCAAACACUUAGGGUUGUCUUUUGGGGAGAUGCUUGGGAAACACUUAAACUGCUGACACUCAACUAGUUCAUAUCAGAUGAUAUCAAACUGAUCACAAAGCAAUUGCCUGACCCCUCUGCCAGUGGGCAUCACAAUCCCGUCCUUGUUGGCCUCCCCCCUUUUGACCAUAUAUGGUUCCUUUCAAAGCCCCUCUCAAUAUGGCCUGCCUCUUUCUGCUGUCACAAGGAGAGCAACCACAGCCCCCUCCCACUUCUGCCCGCAUCAUAAGACUCCACUGUCCUCUGAGCCCCAAUAAAAGCAGCCCACCUUUGCUGAGCAGCUAAGUCUCCCUGGGGGGGGAGAGGGGAAACGGUUAAUGUUUCCCCUUUGCCCCCGUGGGAUGUGGGAGGGCGGCCGAAGUCCUGGGCUUUUUCCGCAAUCUCACUCCCUGUAGGGGAUCCAGGUUUCUGGUAGAGGACGCCGAGCUGUCUCCCUUAGACCCCUGCAGGCUCCUUCGGGAGCUCCUACUGGCCACCGUCUGACGUGCCCCUCUCGGGCUAAGGGCUGAAGCGGGGUCUCCCCCUCCCUGUAAGAAUAAGCUCCCCAAGCAGCUCGAAGACCCAGCUCCCAAAGGUGUGGUCCUUCUGGUUGAGCCAGAGUAGCUCAAGCUGUGUCUGGGUGGGCUCAUCCCUUGGUGGUCCUGCCCCAACACAGAUUGACCAAGGCCCACUGUUUAACCUGGCCCUGCAGGCCUGGCUGGUUGCCGCUUUUUGGAGCCGAGAAGGAAUUUUCCCCUGGGAGGUCUCUGGAUCCCCAGGUUUUUUGCCUUCUCUGCACGGCCUUCCUCUUGAGCUCUGCAAGUGCCUUGGCUUGCCGCUGAAGACGAGUCAAGCAGUGGGUCUUUCCCCCUCCCACCCCUCCCCAAAUAAAAUAUAAAUAGAUUUGAA